This 1013-nucleotide ribosomal RNA is filed under the name uncultured euryarchaeote. RNAcentral's name for it is "bacterial SSU rRNA". It matches the Rfam family "Archaeal small subunit ribosomal RNA", at positions 329 to 1344 of the family's 1478-position model. Lineage: Archaea; Methanobacteriati; Methanobacteriota. The record is from RNAcentral.
GGUGCAGCAGCGCGAAACCCUUACAAUGUGCGAAAGCAUGAUAAGGAGCUCCGAGUGCAGUCAUCUAAUACUGCUGUCCUGAUGCAUAAAACGCACUAUGAUAGCAAGGGCCGGGUAAGACCCGUGCCAGCCGCCGCGGUAACACCGGCGGCCCGAGUGGUAGCCGCUAUUAUUGGGUCUAAAGGGUCCGUAGCCGGUUCGAUAAGUCCUCUGGGAAAUCUGGCUGCUUAACUAUCAGACUGCCAAGGGAUACUGUCGAGCUUGAGACCGGGAGAGGUAAGAGGUACUUCAGGGGUAGGAGUGAAAUCUUGUAAUCCCUGGGGGACCAUCUGUGGCGAAGGCGCCUUACCAGAACGGGUCCGACGGUGAGGGACGAAAGCUAGGGGAGCAAACCGGAUUAGAUACCCGGGUAGUCCUAGCUGUAAACGAUGCUCGCUAGGUGUCAGACACGGUGCGACCGUGUUUGGUGCCGCAGGGAAGCCGUUAAGCGAGCCACCUGGGAAGUACGGUCGCAAGGCUGAAACUUAAAGGAACUGGCGGGGGAGCACUACAACGGGUGGAGCCUGCGGUUUAAUUGGAUUCAACGCCGGAAAACUCACCGGGUGCGACAGCAAUAUGUAGGUCAGGCUGAAGGUCUUACCUGAAUCGCUGAGAGGAGGUGCAUGGCCGUCGUCAGUUCGUACUGUGAAGCAUCCUGUUAAGUCAGGCAACGAGCGAGACCCGCGCCCACAGUUGCCAGCAUGUUCUCCGGAACGAUGGGUACACUGUGGGGACCGCCGCUGCUAAAGCGGAGGAAGGAACGGGCUACGGUAGGUCAGUAUGCCCCGAAUCUCCCGGGCUACACGCGGGCUACAAUGGUUGGGACAAUGGGCACCUACCCUGGAAAGGGACGGUAAUCUCCUAAACCCAACCGUAGUUCGGAUUGAGGGCUGUAACUCGCCCUCAUGAAGCUGGAAUCCGUAGUAAUCGCGUUUCAACAUAGCGCGGUGAAUACGUCCCUGCUCCUUGCACAC